ACAGCUAAUGCAGAAAAACUGUAUGAUGCAAAUAUUACUAAGAUUUUAACAUUUGCAACAUUCCUGCUUUCUAUUAGCAAUCUACGUUAAGGAGCUCAAAACAAAAAUAAAAGAAUCAACCAGGUUACUGUCUGAUAAGCACCUUCUGCGAAAUUUCCAAGUUACAGUCAAAUCACAGAUUCCGAGAAAUAAAUAUUUAACUCAGCA
This is a long non-coding RNA of Octopus sinensis (East Asian common octopus), 207 nucleotides long. RefSeq lists it as uncharacterized. The transcript is spliced from 3 exons. The record is from RefSeq and is a predicted model, not a curated record. Lineage: Eukaryota; Metazoa; Mollusca; Cephalopoda; Octopoda; Octopodidae.